Long non-coding RNA from Micropterus dolomieu (smallmouth bass), 399 nucleotides. RefSeq lists it as uncharacterized. NCBI's taxonomy places the organism in Eukaryota, Metazoa, Chordata, Actinopteri, Centrarchiformes, Centrarchidae. The transcript has 2 exons. The record is from RefSeq and is a predicted model, not a curated record.
GGCUGCUCCACUCCCUCUUAGCCACGGCCUCCAAAGUGCCCUUAAGCCAGACCUUUCACCACCUAAAAACUGCAGUAACGAAUCAAAUACUGUUUUGCAUCAGCUCAGAGGUGUGCCGCAGUCUCACCCGUGCAGCAAAGAGCUAAUUGGAGUGGCCUCAUUUAGCAACACGUCAAAGAAGACGCGACAACACCGUGUCAGCGCCCCCACAAAUCUCCUGCACGGGUCUAAACUUAAUGGCAUGUCAGAGAGCACAACUGAUGCGACGGGGGUCACCGUGAGCCUAUGUUUCACUAUAACGAACCCUCUCCAAACCCCGGCACUGGGACUGUGCUGGCAAAGCGAGAGAUUAAUGUCCCAAUCAGUGAUGUGGUUAAAUAAAAAGAGCUGUGAACUAUC